Regulatory RNA element from Lachnospiraceae bacterium 9_1_43BFAA, 136 nucleotides. It matches the Rfam family "Ribosomal protein L10 leader". Rfam says of the family: This family is a putative r-protein leader autoregulatory structure found in B. subtilis and other low-GC Gram-positive bacteria. NCBI's taxonomy places the organism in Bacteria, Bacillati, Bacillota, Clostridia, Lachnospirales, Lachnospiraceae. The record is from Rfam.
AUAGCAGAGCAAUAACUGCCGAAGACAGUAGGUGCCGUAAGGCAUAAGGAGAAAACGCCUACCGAGGAGAUGUAAAUUCUAAAUAUGAAUUUUCUAGCCUCUCUGUCUUUUGACAGAGAGGUUUUUAUAUCGGCGG